GCGCAGCUAGUUUAGUGGUAGAAUUCGAGAUUGCCAAUCUCGUGACCCGAGUUCGAUUCUCGGGCUGCGCA
This 71-nucleotide transfer RNA is filed under the name Candidatus Woesearchaeota archaeon. RNAcentral describes it as "tRNA-Gly". It matches the Rfam family "tRNA". Rfam says of the family: Transfer RNA (tRNA) molecules are approximately 80 nucleotides in length. The record is from RNAcentral. Lineage: Archaea; Nanobdellati; Candidatus Woesearchaeota.